AGGGUUAUAGAGUAACUCUUAAUUAUAGGCCGAAAAUAUGGUUCGGCGUUUCUACAAGUCACCCUAAAUGGCUUACUAAGGAGGAGUAAUGAAAAAUA
This 98-nucleotide non-coding RNA is filed under the name Deltaproteobacteria bacterium. RNAcentral describes it as "Guanine sequence". It matches the Rfam family "Purine riboswitch aptamer". Rfam says of the family: Riboswitches are metabolite binding domains within certain messenger RNAs that serve as precision sensors for their corresponding targets. Allosteric rearrangement of mRNA structure is mediated by ligand binding, and this results in modulation of gene expression. Lineage: Bacteria; Pseudomonadati; Myxococcota; Myxococcia. The record is from RNAcentral.